Molecule: ribosomal RNA, 253 nt
Filed under: uncultured bacterium
Lineage: Bacteria
Description: partial 16S ribosomal RNA
Rfam family: Bacterial small subunit ribosomal RNA
Source: RNAcentral
UACGAAGGGGGCUAGCGUUGCUCGGAAUCACUGGGCGGUAAAGCGCACGUAGGCGGGUUGUUAAGUCGGGGGUGAAAUCCUGGAGCUCAACUCCAGAACUGCCUUCGAUACUGGCGACCUUGAGUCCGGGAGAGGUGAGUGGAACUCCGAGUGUAGAGGUGAAAUUCGUAGAUAUUCGGAAGAACACCGGUGGCGAAGGCGGCAUCCUGGACCGACACUGACACUGAGGAGCGAAAGCCAGGGAGCAAACGGG